Molecule: non-coding RNA, 97 nt
Organism: Podospora conica
Lineage: Eukaryota; Fungi; Ascomycota; Sordariomycetes; Sordariales; Podosporaceae
Source: the annotation of a GenBank genome assembly
GGCACUUUGGCGGAGUGGUUAACGCGCUGCCCUGCUAUACCCCAAGCAUACCAAGGCAGUUCCUUCGGGAGCGCAGGUUCGAAUCCUGCAGGUGUCG